UGAGGAACAUGACUUUCGGCGGGGGAUAGCCGGCCCAACGGCCGGGUAAUACCGCGUACGACCUUUUGGGGACAUCCCCGAUUGGUGAAAGCAGCAAUGCGCCGAAAGAGUGCCUCGCGGCCUAUCAGCUAGUUGGUGGGGUAAUGGCUCACCAAGGCGACGACGGGUAGCUGGUCUGAGAGGAUGGCCAGCCACAUUGGGACUGAGACACGGCCCAGGCUCCGUACGGGAGCAG
Molecule: ribosomal RNA, 235 nt
Filed under: uncultured bacterium
Lineage: Bacteria
Description: partial 16S ribosomal RNA
Rfam family: Bacterial small subunit ribosomal RNA
Source: RNAcentral